GGGAAAGCGUUUGUAGAAAGUGAGGCUGCUGGACCCGCCCCCGCCGACGAGGCGGGGAGUAGGGCGGUGCCUCCCUCCGAGUUCACCUAUCGGGAAGGGCAGUCUGCGGAGAGGCGGGCGGCGGCACCAAUCCGGUCGAGCAGCUGGAGUCCGGCGGAGCAGUUGGCUGCAGUUGUUGCAACUUUUUUCGAAAGCCGGGUUUCCCGGGAGAUUCCAGGCGGUGACAGAGUGGGACCAUGGCUAGAGGCCCUGAAGUCAGUUGCAUCAUUUAUUCUCCCAGCAUCCCUAGAGGGUCUUUUUUGAUAAGACUUACCCAAAGCCUGAUGAAAAAAUGAGGCAUAGUGAACUUCAGGUUAAAGAGCUUCAUCACCCAGCUCAUGAAAAAAAUUAAGACUAAUAUUUUCCCUUAGAAAAGUGUUAAGCAUGUAAAAGUAUAUUUUAUCUGACAAAUUUUAAUAAAACUGUGCUUCCUGGGUUCA
Sapajus apella (tufted capuchin) is the source of this 479-nucleotide long non-coding RNA. RefSeq lists it as uncharacterized. The transcript is spliced from 2 exons. Lineage: Eukaryota; Metazoa; Chordata; Mammalia; Primates; Cebidae. The record is from RefSeq and is a predicted model, not a curated record.